This is a long non-coding RNA of Pseudopipra pipra, 6720 nucleotides long. RefSeq lists it as uncharacterized. The record is from RefSeq and is a predicted model, not a curated record. NCBI's taxonomy places the organism in Eukaryota, Metazoa, Chordata, Aves, Passeriformes, Pipridae. The transcript has 12 exons.
AAAUCAAGAGGAAAUCCUGCAUCAUGAAUCCAUAGAGCCUAGCAUCUCUUGCCUGUGCUCCCAGAGUGAUAUGGCUCAGGCAUCACUGUCUGGUGGGUGCUGACUGCAGAGACAUCACUUAGCUCCAGGAAAAUCAAUGGGAUUCACUGUGGAUUAAAGCGUUACCAGCAAGAACUGCUUAAAAAAAACCCAAAACCACCAAACCUAGAGGAGAUGGAAAUUCCCCCCUGGAGAGUGUCAGCAGACACCCAGAAUACAUCUCCAGGGUCACUUAAUUCUCUGGAUCCCACCCAACUUCUAUUGAAGUUAAUUGAAAAAAAAACCAUUGACUUGAAGAGGUUUUGGAUCUGACUCAAAUGGCUCUUGUGGCGGCAGAUUACAAGAAGGACCCCCACUGUGCAAUUCCAGCCAUCUGCUUACGGGUACAAGCAAGAAAUCCCAAUGUUGGCUUCUCCAUUGCUCCCUGUUGGAUUCACCUGUUCAGUCUUUCUUUACUAAUGACAAUAAGGAGCUGUUGGGUAACCUAGUGAUAUAGGUGGGAAACACAUGUGUGUGUCCAUGAAGAGAAAGAGCAGAGACUACUUAAAAAGGGAAAUGCCCUGAUGCACUAGAGAAAGAAGAAAUGAACCUGCAGACUUUAUUCCUCACUGCAAGAUGACCCAUCUUAGGAAGGCAGAUUUGGCUCCUUUUAUUGCUGAAUCUUUCACACUCCGGAGAAGAGUACUGCUGUUGUCUGGUGACUAAAAGCAAAAUCACAUAAAGAGGGAAGAGAAAGGAGAGUAAAACAAAGCUGUCUCUCACUCCCAGCUCGAUAACAAAUGCAGCAAGUGAUCUCGUAAGCACACCAGGUAGUGCCUCUGGGCUGGCACGAUGCCCACCUGUGCCAUCUGCUGAGUAUCAAACCUUCCUCUGCUUCCCAUCCUGCAGAACCUGCUGCAACCGGGCUCUGCUUUUCUGCUGAAAUCACUGCGGCACACAGCCAGCCCAGGCAAAACUGCCCAUCGGACAAUCAGAAUUUGCAGUUCCCAUCUGCCACAAGCUGGGCCUUGGACUGGAGAAGUAGCUGCGGGCUGCUGCUCUCCAAAGGAGCUCAGAAAUUAGGGUCUGUCUGCAUCACGGUACCAGGAGUUCAUUUAUCUCUUUUUGGAAAUGACAGUGUCCUAAAUGAACAUAGUGGAGAGCAUGGGCAGGCCAAUGAACACACCUUAAAACAAGUGGCUUCCCUCAGAUGAAUGACGGGAAACACUGUUUGCAAGCCUCAUUGCUGAGAGAUAGUGAAGACUUCCUCCCACCGAGAACAGAUCACAAACUUCAUGACGACUGUCCUGCACAAUGUUGUGUGCUAGACUAAUAGGUGUAUGAGGCCUGGACAAAGACCUUGCUGGUGGAACACAGAAGUGAAAUACUGCAGGAGGUUGUUCCUCCCCAGCAAAACUCACUAGUAAAGAGAACGGGCCACUGCAUCAAUCAGCACACAGGACUCCACACAGAGUGGAUUUUGAGAUCUGCAAAUAAAAAUGAAAUUGCUCAAAGUAUGACAGGAAGAGAAUGAGGAGUGUGCCCUUCUGAAAACUUGUGAACAAAUAAUGUCUCCAGAAGAUGUCUGAUGUAGUGUAAACAGUGACAGAAGCAGGCCAAGCUGGAAGCAAAAAAAAAGAAAGGAAAUUAGGUGCCUCCCAGCAGGGACUAGAUCCCCAUUGUGCUGGAUGCUGUGGAAACAUACAGUGAAAGGCACAAGACACCAUGAAAUCCUCCUUCCAAAGGGAAGUAAGAAAGAGGACUUCCACAGCAAGGAGCCCACGUCCAGCUAGCACUGUGUCUGUGUUCCGUCAGCCAUAUUGCUGUGGGAAUUGCUAGCACUGGGAAUUGCAGCACCUAUUUGUGGUCUUACUAUGAAAACCCCCUCCUUUGACACAGCUGGUCAUUCAGUUCCUUUGGGCAUCUCUGACAUCAGAGGCAGGACAUCUCUAAUGAUAGAUUGCUUGAAUGAGAAAAAUUAUAAUAAAAAUCCUACUCAUGGAAUGAGGCUGCUGUGGAUAUUCACAGAUUCUGCUUGUUCUCCACAAAGAAGAAUAUAUAAUCCUCUGAAGUGAAAUAUUAUAAAAAUACUAAAAAAAAGCAAUGAAAAUAUUAAACUCUCCUGGGAAAGGCCUUCUUUACUUUGCUUCCUUAUAAUGAGGCUAAUGAGGAAAGUCUGAUGUUAGAGGCAAUGUUCUGGUACUGCAAAGAGUUCCUUUGCAGAGUUUCAUUGCCUACUUUAGUGAUUGCAUUUGCUCACCUCAAAUGAAUGUGGUAUCUCUAACCUCCAAGUCAUGAUGUGAGAAGUUAUUUUUAUUUGCUAGAGCUGACUAUGCAAAAGAGAGCCGGCAAUGACUGUUCUUCUCGGCCAUUCACUUUCUGUGAUGGAGCUGCAACCCAUAGGCCAGACUAAUAGAUUUCUGAUACUAGAAAUACCAUUUCUGCUUUGCUGACAUGCCAGUGUAAAUCCACUGUAUGUAUCCAGUAUGCAGAUACAAGGACACUACUGUUUUCAGUGCUUUUCAAACAAAAAAUUGCUUGUGAACGCCUUCAUACAAAGACAGGCCUUUCAGAGUAAUCAGAAUAAGCCCUAAUUAAUCUUUGGCAAAGAUGUAAUAACACACACAAUGUUAUACUUAAAUGCAGAAAGAGUUGUGUAUAUACAAGUGAUGGGGUUGAUGCACAGACCUGUGUCAAUGCAAUGGUCUUUUAAUCUAAUAAAAAUAACAAUGUUCACAUGACUUUCAUUAAAGGCAUUGCACAGCAUGUCUAUAAGCACAAACAUAUAGUUAAAUGUUCCUACAGUGUAUAUUCCUAACCAUAAGCAUUUAACUAUCAGUAACUGGGUUUUACAAAGAGAUUUCAGCGGGAGAAGGCAUUGUGUAGUGCACGGAGAGCUGGUUUAAGGAACAGCAGGAAAGUAGUUUCCAUCAUCUUUGCAGCACACCAAGAAAGGAGGCUCUUCCUGAACAUCUUAGGAAGCAAGCUCUUUUCAGUAGAAAUUAGGAAGUUUUCUGAAGAGAAGGGUCACUGCAUAGUAGCCAAAACCCGAGCUUGCACCUCUGUUUACAGCUUAACUUGCAAAAUCGGAUAGCACAAAAAUACUGAGCUCUGAGGCUUUAGAUGGGAAAAAGCUUUCUCUGCUGGUUUCCCCAAAGGUGAUUUAUUCUGCAAAAACUGUAUUGUGUAACACUUUCUGCCUUAAAAGCAACUCAUGCAAAGUUAAUUACAUGGCACUAUGUUUGUGGGAAAAUACAUUUUACUACAAGUUAAUUUGAAGAAAAAAAUAUUAUACAAUGAAUGCUAUAAAAAAACAGUUAAGCAACUCACAAAUGCCUUAACAGCAUUUAUAAAUCAAAUCAUUGCACAUCGAUAACUUUAAAACCAACCUACAUCAGCCUUUUGGAACAAUGCACAAGUAAAACAGUUUUUGAGAAGAGACAGGAAUUUCAUCCAUAGAAAUUAAUAAGCUGUGAGGAAGAAAAGGGACUUGUGAUCAUCUAGGCUCACCUGCUGUUUUACACUGGCCAAAGAAGAGACUUAUUCUUUGCUAAUAGUCCUUUCACUCACUGAGCAAGAAACCUUUAUGACUCAUGUUUCAACUACAGAAUAUCUUUAAAAAUGCAGUAUUGAUAUGAAUGUUGAAGAGACUGAAGACUGACCCAAAAGACACCCAACUGUUCCUUAUCGCCCCUUGACUGACUGUCAAAAUAUGGGCCAAAUUUCUUGGCUAAAUAUUCCUAAUUGUGGCUUUCAGGCAUCAGCUCUUGUAAGGCCUUUGACUGCUGAUUCCUCCUUUCUCUGCCCUGAUCCCCCAAAAUCUGAAGCCUCUUCUCCAUAGCCUACCACCUCAGAAUUAAUUUCUAUGCCAAGAGCAAAUGUGGAGGGAAAGAUUACAGAAUCAUAGAAUCGACUGGGUUGGAAAAGACCUCUGAGAUCAUCAAGUCCAACCCUUGCUCCAACACCGUCAUGGUUACUAGCCCAUGGCACUAAGUGCCACAUCCAGUCUUAUCUUACAAACCUCCAGGGGCGGAGAAUCCACCACUUCCCUGGGCAGCCCAUUCCAAUGUCUGAUUACUCUCUCUGUAAAAAAUUUUUUCCUAAUAUUCAACCUGGACCUCCCCUGGCACAGCUUAAGACCCUGCCCUCUUGUCCUACUGCUGGUUGCCUGGGAGAAGAGACUGACCCCCAUCUGGCUACAGAUCUCACAUUACUUAUUAUUUCUCUUUUAAAUUCUUUAAGUAAUUCCCUGGAAAAGGUUGUGUGCACCAAACUACUUGCAUAAUGCCACAUCCAUAGCAGAGAAAGUCCCCAGAGAAGGUUGACAAUAUUAAAGAAAUUAUAUUCCUAUGAAGAAUUUUAUGUUCACAGUGUGAAUGUGCAAAAUGAACUGCCGGUGUUGCUGACUCCUGUGAAUUUACUUUAAGUUUUGCAAGAUUAGGUAAUUUUCUUCAAGACCUAGCUCCUGAAGAGAUGACUAUGGGACAAAAUGUCUUGGAUUUUCCUCUCCUACUGCUUCCUUUCAGUAUUUUUUUUAUGCCUUUCCUGACUGUGGAAAAGCCUGCAGUGUGAUGUGAAUUUGUCUUGCGGGCUUAGAAAACAGACAAAUAUGUAUUUAUUCUGUUUCUUUAUGUUAAAGAUGAUCAAAAACUCAUAGUAACCACUCAGUUCACUUAGUGUAAGUGACUGGUCCUUCCCAAAAGUAUAAGACAGGUAAGAAAGCCUAAGAAAAUAAUGUUAUUUUCAUUUUACAGAUAGAGAAUUAAUUCACAGUUACUCAUGUUGGAUUCAAAACCUAUUUAUGCCAAUUGAUUUCUUGAGAUCACACAGCUAAACACACCUUUUCUAAAUCCCUGACACUGCAUUAAGGACAAGAAAUUAUUUCUUUCUAAAAGCAGAGCUAGUUAAAUGUAUCAUGAUAUUGCAGACUUUAUAGAGCUCCCACUGAUCUGAAUGGAUUCAUAUGCAGAGUCUCAUAGAAACUGAACCUCUGGAAGCAGCCACUGGUAUUUAACCACAUAGCACUAAUCAUUGAAUCACUCUGCCUGAGUUUCUAUUAGGUAGAGAAAGAAAAGGUUGCUCUCUCUGCCAUUAUUUGUUUGUCCCUUUAGAUUUAUUAAUCUGAGAAUAUUAGAAAUGUAUUUGCUAAAUCAUAAUAGUCUGAACUACUAACAAUAUGCAAUAAGAGUGCAAACACAUACAUUUUAAAAUCUAUGGUUCCUGUUCUUCCUAUUAUAAAUCUUGACAAGUAGUAAUUACAUGCAAUCUCAGGAAACAAAGUUAAUCAUAAUUAUCUUAAAAACAGAAAAGAGGCAUUAGAAGGGUCAUGUUGGGCCUGUAUCAGUUACAUUUAAUUAAACAGAAGAUUAUGCAUAAUCCAGUAAAACAGUCUCUUUUUUGAUCUAAUAACCAACAGAAACAAAGCUCACCAAUACUAACAAGUGUUCAUGGAAGUAAGGAACUCAACUUCUGUACUUUCAGGGUUGUCUUAGGAAGGGACUAUCACAGCAAAUGAAGGGACCUAGACAGCCAGGUGAAUGAGCAUUCAGAAAACAAAUUUUUAGGCAGUCUUGGAAAUCUCAGCCUUGUACUAUACUUGUACCAAUCCCUUGGUGUGCUGCCCAUGUAAAUUGAACACAGAUUCCUGUUUCUGAGCAGAGACUUUCAGUUUACAGUUGUUAUUGCUCCCUUGUGUGUAUUUUACCUCUAUAUGGAGAGUACUUCUCAAUCACCACUCAUGUCUCUCUUUCCACCACUGCAGGGGCAGAGUCCAUGGUUUGGAUAAGGUGUAGAAAAUCUUGAGGCUCAUCAAAAUUCAGAAUAAAAAUUAAAACACAGGUCUACUAUCAUUUCAACAGCAUGCAUCAUGGAAGGAUUCCUGAAAUGUGGCUCUUUAUCUGAUUCUGUUUCUGUAAUAUAUUUCUUUUAAUGAUACUAUAGGAAAGCUCAAGAUAAAGAACAGACUCAGUCUUUUUUUGGAUAAAAACCUAAUUCAGUAUAGUAUGUAGAUAACCUAACUGUGUAAAUAUCACUCAAUAAAUUAAAUAAUGUGAACACUACCAUUAGAACUGAUAUUAAUAGUCAUCAUAUUUAUUUGACCAUUUUGUACAUAUUUCCUCUUUGUUUAGAUUAAAAAAAAAUAAAAAAAUAUUUUGCCUCAUAAAGAAUGAACAAAUGAGACAUUUGCCUUUAACUAGGCAUACAAAUUGCAAAAACACCCUUUAAAUGAUCAAGAACACUAGAAAUCUGGUAGUAUUCCACCUUACAUAUUUCAAAGGCAUUAAAUGCUUGAAGCAAACUUAUCUACCAGUUCCAGCUGUUGCCAGUGAGGAUAAGGGAAUUUUUUUAUUUUUAUUUUUUUCUCUUCUACCAAAACAGUAAGUCUCAAAACUCUACUAUGUUACUGAAAAAUUCUAUAGUCUAAAUAGAUUAGGAUUCCCACUUUCAUGGCAUGCAACAGACCAGCUCUUCCGCUGAGAAUCACAAAAUGAAUCACAAAAACUGCGAUGCAAAUAUUGGUGAAGCAUUUUUUUUAGCUGUUUUUUGUGGGUUUGUAAACUUCAUUCCCACCUAGUCCUCUCAUCCUACUUAUAAAAUUUGGCCAUAGUUUAUAUUUUUACUCACAUUAUUAAAACAAACAAACUAACCAAACAAAAUCUCAAAAUAUCUCUUUUAGAUAAGACUCUUUGUUUAAAACUUAAU